Molecule: RNA transcript, 3075 nt
Organism: Physeter macrocephalus (sperm whale)
Lineage: Eukaryota; Metazoa; Chordata; Mammalia; Artiodactyla; Physeteridae
Gene: TPPP
Gene name: tubulin polymerization promoting protein
Exons: 5
Source: RefSeq, a predicted model, not a curated record
GAGGCGCCGCCGCUGCAGUCGCCGCAUCUACGAGCAUGGCUGACAGCAGGCCCAAGCCCCCCAAGCCCGCCAACAAGACGCCCCCCAAGUCCCCAGGGGACCCCGCGAAGGACAAGGCAGCCAAGAGGCUGUCCCUGGAGUCGGAGGGUGCCAGCGAGGGGGCGGCCGCCGCGGGCCCGGAGCUCAGCGCCCUGGAGGAGGCCUUCCGGAGGUUUGCGGUGCACGGGGACACCAGGGCCACCGGGAAGGAGAUGCAUGGCAAGAACUGGUCCAAGCUGUGCAGGGACUGCCAGGUGAUCGACGGCAGGAACGUGACCGUCACCGACGUGGACAUCGUCUUCAGCAAGAUCAAGGGCAAGUCCUGCAGGACCAUCUCAUUCGAGCAGUUCAAGGAAGCACUGGAGGAGCUGGCCAAGAAGAGAUUCAAAGACAAGAGCGGUGAGGAGGCCGUCCGAGAGGUGCACAGGCUCAUCGAGGGCAAGGCCCCCAUCAUCUCGGGGGUGACGAGGCAAGAGUCACCUGGGGAGUCGCGUCUGCAGACAACUCGGAACGUGCAGAGUGUUUCUGGGCACUAAGCUGAUCACAGAUGUCAAAGCCCGUGUUCCAGGGCCGGCCGGUUCCUCUCCGUGGACUCGGGACAGGCCUCCACCCCAGACCCAUCCUCUGCCCAGCCGCUGCGGGUCUCCGCCUGCCCGACAACCCGGCGCCGCGCACAGCCGUCCCGCGGCAGGACACGGGUCCAGCCCUCGCAGCCGGUGAUAAAGCAGGAGAAACGCAGAAGAAUGGGUAACAGCUGAGCCGCCAGGAUGAGGAACGACCACGAGAACGAGUGGCGCCGGGCAGCAGCACGGAGGCCGUCAGCAGUCCACGGUGGGUACCACCCCCGAGGCACGCAGGAGGAUGCAGGAGCGGACGCCUCUGGACGACCGCCAAGCUGGCCCAGGAUCUCGGUCAGUGGCCUGCUGGAGGCAUCCCCGGGCCCUGCUGGGGUCACCUGGUCACUGCCCGGGGCUGCCUGGACGAGGGUCCUGAGCUCAGGAGCUGGGACAGCCUGACGCCACAGCAGCUGCAUCCCGUCCCCUGAACAGCAAGGCCUUGUGUGAAGGGACACGCCUGCCCCUGCAUCUCUGCCACAGGGACACAACUGCAGAUGCUGAAACUAUUAAAAUGUCAUGAAAAGAUUGUGUCGUGCCAAAAAACCUGCAAAUUAGGCCAUAAGAACAAAUUCCUAGAGAUAACGUAACUUGUGAAAACUAACUCCAGAAGAACUGGGAAGCCCGCAUAGUCCUGGCCAGGUGAGUACUGACGGCGAUGGAGAAGCCCAAAGUCCAGGGGCUGGGCGAUGAGGCGUGCAUCUCACACGGAGCCCAGCUAGGGCCCGGGGGAGAGGGGUGCCACUCGGGUGGCCACCAGCUCUUCUCUGCUGGGCCCUGAAGACACGCCUCCUUCACUUGCAGAGUUGGUCACAUGGCCCCAAACCAGCUACAGGGGAGGCACACGGACGGCCCCUAAGAACCCGCUCUGCUGUAUCGCUGAACCAUAAUUCAACUGAAUCAAGUCAAAAAUCUCCCCACGGGGCUUCCCUGGUGGCACAGUGGUUGCGAGUCCGCCUGCCGAUGCAGGGGACGUGGGUUCGUGCCCCGGUCCGGGAAGAUCCCACGUGCCACGGAGCGGCUGGGCCCGUGAGCCGUGGCCGCUGAGCCUGCGCGUCCGGAGCCUGUGCUCCGCAACGGGAGAGGCCACAGCGGUGAGAGGCCCGCAUACCGAAAAAAAAAAAAAAAAAAAAAUCUCCCCACAAGAUGUGACCUGGUACAGCCACUAUGGAGAAUAGUAUGGAGGUUCCUUAAAAAACUAAAAAUAGAACUACCUACCAUAUGACCCAGCAAUCCCACUACUGGACAUAUACCCUAAGAAAACCGUACUUCAAAAAGAGUCAUGUACCACAAUGUUCAAUGCAGCACUAUAUACAAUAGCCAGGACAUGGAAGCAGCCUAAAUGUCCAUCAACAGAAAUGGAUAAAGAAGGUGUGGUACAUACACACAAUGGAAUACUCAGCCAUAAAAAGAGAUUGAAAUAAUGCCAUUUGCAGCAACAUGGACAGACGUAGAGAUUGUCAUACUAAGUGAAGUAAGUCAGAGAAAGACAAGUACGAUAUCACUUAUAUGUGGAAUUUUAAAAAAUGAUACAAGUGAACUUUUUUGCAAAACAGAAACAGACUCACAGACACUGAAAACAAACUUAUGGUUACCAAAGGGGAAUGGUAGCGGGGAGGGAUAAAUUUGGAGUUUGGAAUUAACAGAUAAACAUUACCCAUAUAUAAAAUAAACAACAAGGUCCUACUGUGUGUGUAUGUGUAUAUAUAUAUAUAUACACACACACCCCUCACGCUGUGCCGGCCGUGCGUGGGACCUGUCCGGGACUGCCCUCACAAGUCACUCAACCCUCACGAUGGCCUGCGAGGCAGGCACUGCAAACCAGGACAUUGAGGCCCAGAGACUCCAACUGCCCAGGGGGACAUUAAGUGGCACACCUGGAACACAAAAUCCUACACAAAACAUCCACAAACCACAUACAACAACAUGUAUGGAAGGAAAGCCCAUCAUCACUAAGUUGUGCUUAUUCCAGAAAUUUACUGUAGUUAACCACACUAAUAGAACAAGGGAGAAAAAUCACAUGGUCAUCUCUGUAGUGGCAGAAAAGUGUCUUAUUCAUCCAUUCAUGAUGACAAAUUCUUAGCAAAUUAACAACAGAAGGAGCAAGGCCACCUACCAAAAAACCGAAUUUAGUGGUGCAAAUUUAGUGGUGAAGUGGUAAAAGCUCCCCUUUGAUUUAAUACCCAGAACAAGACAGAUGCCCACUCUACUACCACGUAUAAUCCACAAUUAUAUUAGACGUGCCAGCCAGCACAGAAGAGCAAAACUCAAAACAAAACCGAAAAGAAAACAUAAAGUAAAAACCCAGAGUAAAGGAAUGGAACGGAGAAAAGAAAAGCCAUUAUUCACAGAAGGUAUGACUGUGCUAGAAAGUCUAGCACAGCUACAGGCAAAUUAUUACGAGUUUAACAAGAUCGCUGGG